UUGAUGGCGUAGAUUUGAGGCGACCCUGGUCGAAUGCCGGAACGAUAAAGGUAGCUGUGAUGGUCCUGCACAUCUGUCCCGUUUUCCUUGCUUGCAUCUUGUCCUUGAUGCAUGGUUGGUUGCUCAGUUAUGUCCGCUGAUACAGUAGCUCUUCUGUCUGUGUAGUGGGGGAUUUGGGUGAUCGAGUUGGAUGGUUGCUGGUGUGAAGUUAUAGGUAGUUUCUAAUUGGGGAAUUGCAAAUUAUACACCAUUCUGCAUUGGCAACAAUGUGCCAAUGCUAGCCGUUUUUGAUUAUGUGAAUCUUAUGAUGCAGGUUAGUUGCUUAGUUUUGCCCAUGGACAUGAUUGCUCUUCUCAUGGUGUAAUGGAGGAAUGAGGGAGCUCUGCCCGUGAACUGAUUUUUGUUUGUUCAUCAUGCUUUUCUUUUUCUUACUAUUGGAGCUAUGGUUGGAUGGUUGCUGUGAUAUGGUGUUUUAGUUUGCUUGUCAUUGGGGAUUGAUUUUUGGGUAUAUGGAAGAUAGGGUUGCAAAUAAUAUCAGUAGGCACUGCCAACAAUGUGUCGGUGUUAGCCUUCUGUGAUUAUGUAAACUUGCUGGCAGUAAAGAUCAUUCCUUUGUAUAGAAACAUUUAGAUGCUUUAAAACUAUUGGUACAAUUCAAGGGCUAAUGAGUUUUAUGAAAGAUUGGAUUUUUAUCUGCUGCAACUUUCUGUGGAGUAGUGCUAUGUAUUUUGUUCUUGCUGCUAGGACCCAUGGACUAAUUUUUAAAUUUUUUUCUCUACCGUUUUGAGUUCAUGUUCAUGUUAGUCAUUUUAUUGAUAGAGAAAGACAGGACUGUAGUUCUACAAAGCAUUUAUAAUGAACUUUGAAUGAAAUGAGCAUCUGUGAUUCUAUCAAGAAUCCCUUUACACAUAUUACUCGUAUUGAUAGCAGUUUUCUUGUUCUGAAGAGAAUCUCUUCCUCUUUGAGGAAUCAAGUUUUCUUGGUUUGCUCACGCCUUGUUGCUCUGUUCUUGUACGUGCUGCAGGCAGACCCCUAGAUCCAGGAGGUUUUGGAGAUGCAACCUCCAAAUCUUGGGCUCCAGAGCGACAAGGAGGCAAGGCAGUCCCUCCUCAAGACGAGGGCCUGCAUGCUUCAUGAUGCCCUGCAUGUGGGGGUGCUAAGCUUCUCAACCCUUCCGUCCUCUCCGAGCUAAAGAUGAGCUGUUACCAUGGAAGGUCCCUCCUCUCCUGAGAGCGGGAACUCGCAGCAGCAGGCACUCCAGCCACCUCAAGCACUAGACGAGGUAUGCCCUCCUCUCCUUCCAACCCCUUCCUUGCUGUCAAAUCUUGUUUGCCGUUGGGACUUACUACACUAGCCUAAUAUGCAAUAUCUAUUAUUUAUUAAACCAAAGUUUUUUGUGUUAUGUAAUCCCCUAUGACAUUCUGUCUUCUGUAAUUGUGAGUGCAUAACUGAAAAGAGAUGCAUCCUGAGUGACAUCAGUUGUAUACUUGUAUAUCUGAAACUAAGUUGUGUUUGUCAGUAUGAGACUUAAAAUUCAGCUACUUCUGCUAAGCACACUUUGCAAUGAAGAGAGGCAAGUAGUUAUCCUCUAGUGCUGAAAGCAAUAGACCUCCAUGUAGAUGUAGCUUUCUUGUAGUGCUGAGAACAAGAAAUUCUUGGAGCUAUCAGUGUUUUAACACUGUAAUUCGUGGGGACCUGGUUCUUCCCUUUUGAUGUACGCCAAUGAUAUGACUCAUGAAUAGCAAUCAACCAUAUUAGUACCUAUCUUUUUUAGAGAUUGCCGUGUUUAUGUUUUUAUUACUGGACACAAGUUAUUAUUCUUGUGUUACAAAGCUUGUUUGCAAAAGUUGGGCAUGAUACUGACCUGCCCAGUAUUAUGAUGUUCACUUCAGUUGGAUGGUGAUCACCCAGCCGGUGCACCAUAGGAUGCUACUUGUUCCAUGUAGCUAGCCUUUGGCUUGGGCAUGUUCAACAUGGAUGACAUUAGAGGGCCGGGGCAUCCAUUACUGUGGCACCAGUUUGCUGGUGACGAUACUAGGGAGCCCAGAGAAGCGGAGCUUGCCCUCGCCGAGCACCAGGGCAAGUACAUGGCUGCCAUCCUUAAAAAGCUCGGCGAGGGUUGAUUCUGAGCGAGCCAGCAGGUGGAUCCUUGAUUCUUUGUUGAUAUAU
Molecule: long non-coding RNA, 2169 nt
Organism: Triticum aestivum (bread wheat)
Lineage: Eukaryota; Viridiplantae; Streptophyta; Magnoliopsida; Poales; Poaceae
Exons: 3
Source: RefSeq, a predicted model, not a curated record